AUUGAACGCUGGCGGCAGGCUUAACACAUGCAAGUCGAGCGGAAACGAUACCAGCUUGCUGGUAGGCGUCGAGCGGCGGACGGGUGAGUAACACUUAGGAAUCUACCUAGUAGUGGGGGAUAGCUCGGGGAAACUCGAAUUAAUACCGCAUACGACCUACGGGAGAAAGGGGGCAGUUUACUGCUCUCGCUAUUAGAUGAGCCUAAGUCGGAUUAGCUAGAUGGUGGGGUAAAGGCCUACCAUGGCGACGAUCUGUAGCUGGUCUGAGAGGAUGAUCAGCCACACCGGGACUGAGACACGGCCCGGACUCCUACGGGAGGCAGCAGUGGGGAAUAUUGGACAAUGGGGGCAACCCUGAUCCAGCCAUGCCGCGUGUGUGAAGAAGGCCUUUUGGUUGUAAAGCACUUUAAGCAGUGAAGAAGACCAUAUGGUUAAUACCCAUAUGCGAUGACAUUAGCUGCAGAAUAAGCACCGGCUAACUCUGUGCCAGCAGCCGCGGUAAUACAGAGGGUGCAAGCGUUAAUCGGAAUUACUGGGCGUAAAGCGAGCGUAGGUGGCUUGAUAAGUCAGAUGUGAAAUCCCCGGGCUUAACCUGGGAACCGCAUCUGAUACUGUUAAGCUAGAGUAGGUGAGAGGGAAGUAGAAUUCCAGGUGUAGCGGUGAAAUGCGUAGAGAUCUGGAGGAAUACCGAUGGCGAAGGCAGCUUCCUGGCAUCAUACUGACGCUGAGGCUCGAAAGCGUGGGUAGCAAACAGG
Molecule: ribosomal RNA, 755 nt
Filed under: uncultured bacterium
Lineage: Bacteria
Description: bacterial SSU rRNA
Rfam family: Bacterial small subunit ribosomal RNA
Source: RNAcentral